Molecule: non-coding RNA, 29 nt
Filed under: Rattus norvegicus (Norway rat)
Lineage: Eukaryota; Metazoa; Chordata; Mammalia; Rodentia; Muridae
Source: RNAcentral
UUCCACAGACCCGGAACUCCUACUUCCUC